Molecule: unclassified non-coding RNA, 311 nt
Filed under: uncultured Agaricales
Lineage: Eukaryota; Fungi; Basidiomycota; Agaricomycetes; Agaricales
Description: sequence contains ITS2
Rfam family: 5.8S ribosomal RNA (bases 1-52)
Source: RNAcentral
AACGCACCUUGCGCUCCUUGGUAUUCCGAGGAGCAUGCCUGUUUGAGUGUCAUUAAAUUCUCAACCUUAUUAGCUUUUGCUGAUAGUGGCUUGGAUGUGGGGGGUCUCUUUUGCUGGCUUCAUUCAUGGAGGUCAGCUCCCCUUAAAUGCAUUAGCUGGUGCCCCGCGUGGACUGUCUAUUGGUGUGAUAAUUAUCUACGCCGUGGAUGUCUGCAAUUAUAUGGGUUUUGCACUGCUUAUAACCGUCUGUUCAUUCGGACAAUACAUGACAAUUUGACCUCAAAUCAGGUAGGACUACCCGCUGAACUUAA